Molecule: ribosomal RNA, 365 nt
Filed under: uncultured bacterium
Lineage: Bacteria
Description: bacterial SSU rRNA
Rfam family: Bacterial small subunit ribosomal RNA
Source: RNAcentral
AACGAACGCUGGCGGCAGGCCUAACACAUGCAAGUCGAACGCUCCGCAAGGGGAGUGGCGCACGGGUGAGUAACACGUGGGAACCUACCUUCUGGUACGGAACAACCAAGGGAAACUUUGGCUAAGACCGUAUACGACCUCCGGGUGAAAGAUUGAUCGCCGGAAGAGGGGCCCGCGUCCGAUUAGGUAGUUGGUGAGGUAACGGCUCACCAAGCCUUCGAUCGGUAGCUGGUCUGAGAGGAUGACCAGCCACACUGGGACUGAGACACGGCCCAGACUCCUACGGGAGGCAGCAGUGGGGAAUAUUGGACAAUGGGCGCAGCCUGAUCCAGCCAUGCCGCGUGAGUGAUGAAGGCCUUCGGUUG